Molecule: long non-coding RNA, 299 nt
Filed under: Salvia miltiorrhiza (redroot sage)
Lineage: Eukaryota; Viridiplantae; Streptophyta; Magnoliopsida; Lamiales; Lamiaceae
Description: long non-coding RNA (SMIL_LNC002782)
Source: RNAcentral
UUCUAUACUGUAUACAUACGUAAAAGGUGGGGAUGAGGCCUUAAAAAAAGUUUUCUAAUUUUUGUCAUCUUUUGGUAUCCGAUGCUUCUCAUAAUUCUAUGUUUGCUAUUUUUUUUUUUUUUGUAUAAUAAGUUUGCUAUCAUAUUUUAAUAAAUUAUCAUUCAAACUUCAAUAUUACAGGUUUUUUUUUUUAUUAUUUUUCUUCUUUGUGUUGAAGUAUGAGUCCUCAGAAUUUUACUCGGAAUUUUUUGUCUACAUCAAACUCACUUCCACUUCCAGGUAAAAAACAAAUCUUAAAU